RNAcentral lists this ribosomal RNA (114 nucleotides) under Pteropus alecto (black flying fox). The record is from RNAcentral. Lineage: Eukaryota; Metazoa; Chordata; Mammalia; Chiroptera; Pteropodidae.
AUCUAUGGCCGUGCCACCCCAAACAAGCCUGAUCCCAUCUGAUCUCGGAAACUAAGCAGGGCCUGGUUACUACUUGGAUGGGAGACCACCUAGGAAGACCAGGUGCUGUAGGCG